GCCGGGCGUGGUGGCAGGCGCCUGUAAUCCCAGCUACUUGGGAGGCUGAGGCAGGAGAAUUGCUUGAGUCCAGGAGACGGAGGUUGCAGUGAGCCAAGCUCGUGCCACUGCACUCCAGCCUGACCAACAGAGCGAUACUCUGUCUCAA
This 148-nucleotide non-coding RNA is filed under the name Pan troglodytes (chimpanzee). The record is from Rfam by way of RNAcentral. Lineage: Eukaryota; Metazoa; Chordata; Mammalia; Primates; Hominidae.